RNAcentral lists this ribosomal RNA (501 nucleotides) under uncultured bacterium. RNAcentral's name for it is "bacterial SSU rRNA". It matches the Rfam family "Bacterial small subunit ribosomal RNA", at positions 397 to 909 of the family's 1533-position model. The record is from RNAcentral.
CCGCGUGCGGGAUGAAGGCCUUCGGGUUGUAAACCGCUUUCAGCAGGGAAGAAGCGAAAGUGACGGUACCUGCAGAAGAAGCACCGGCUAACUAUGUGCCAGCAGCCGCGGUAAUACAUAGGGUGCAAGCGUUGUCCGGAAUUAUUGGGCGUAAAGAGCUCGUAGGUGGUUCGUCACGUCGGAUGUGAAAAUCUGGGGCUUAACCCCAGACCUGCAUUCGAUACGGGCGAGCUUGAGUAUGGUAGGGGAGUCUGGAAUUCCUGGUGUAGCGGUGGAAUGCGCAGAUAUCAGGAGGAACACCAAUGGCGAAGGCAGGACUCUGGGCCAUUACUGACACUGAGGAGCGAAAGCGUGGGGAGCGAACAGGAUUAGAUACCCUGGUAGUCCACGCCGUAAACGGUGGGCACUAGUUGUGGGGACCUUCCACGGUCUCUGCGACGCAGCUAACGCAUUAAGUGCCCCGCCUGGGGAGUACGAUCGCAAGAUUAAAACUCAAAUGAA